ACCGAGCGCGUCCUCGGCAGGGCCGACGACCUCGUCCUCCUCGUCGAGUCCCUGCACGCCAAGCUCACGGCGCGAUCGACGGCCUCGAAGCCUUCGUCGUCGGCGCCGUGGGGCAUCCGCUGGGGCACGGCGGUGGUGGCGGCCGAGCACGGGGGAGCUCCCCAUCCCAUCCACUGUCUUCCGUUUCGGCCUAGCUCGCCCUCCGCUGCUUUGCCCACUGCUGCGCUCGCCCGCCACCGCUCCUCCGCCGCGCUCGCAUAUUGUGUUUUAGUGGCUGGUUGCAGGAAGCAGGAACUUGAGAACUUGGAGGUCGUCACGGUGGGCGACGGCGGCGGUGGCGGUGGCAACACCAUUACCGUGCAUGGCGAAAAGGCUCCCAUUGACAGCAAAGGAGAGGCAGCGACUCCGGCGAAACGCGCCGACGUAUCAGGUGGCCAAGAAUGCGGCGUGGUCCGCGUGGAGGAUGUACAGCGGGACACGGAGAUCGUGAAGAAUAAGGACCAGGAGAGAGGAGGCAGCGAGAGGGAAGAAGAGGAGACCGUCGCCAUGGCCGGCACGGGGAGCAGGGAGGAAGCAUUGCUGGUUCUCUUCGAUACAGCAUGGCAACAGGGGAACCUCCUUACCGGUGGGAGCGGCGGGACGGCGGGUGCGCAUGCACUAACUCGUGGCCGCGGCGGGUCAGGGAGGCAGGCGACGCCGCCGGUCGCUGGGCUGCGGCGGCGGAUGGAGUCGCGUCGUCGGUAACCGCCGGCGG
RNAcentral lists this long non-coding RNA (754 nucleotides) under Oryza sativa Indica Group (long-grained rice). RNAcentral's name for it is "lncRNA OsZS97_07G006530". RNAcentral also lists the same sequence under 1 other name. Lineage: Eukaryota; Viridiplantae; Streptophyta; Magnoliopsida; Poales; Poaceae. The record is from RNAcentral.